AGAACGAACGCUGGCGGCAUGCCUAAUACAUGCAAGUCGAACGAACUCUUCGGAGUUAGUGGCGCACGGGUGCGUAACGCGUGGGAAUCUGCCCCUUGGUUCGGAAUAACAGUUGGAAACGACUGCUAAUACCGGAUGAUGACGAAAGUCCAAAGAUUUAUCGCCAAGGGAUGAGCCCGCGUAGGAUUAGCUAGUUGGUGAGGUAAAGGCUCACCAAGGCAACGAUCCUUAGCUGGUCUGAGAGGAUGAUCAGCCACACGUGGGACUGACGACACCGGCCCAGACCUCCGUACGGGAGCAGCAGGUAGGGAAUAGUGGAACAAGUGGGACGAAACGCCUAGACUCCGAGACCGG
RNAcentral lists this ribosomal RNA (354 nucleotides) under uncultured soil bacterium. RNAcentral's name for it is "bacterial SSU rRNA". It matches the Rfam family "Bacterial small subunit ribosomal RNA", at positions 26 to 400 of the family's 1533-position model. The record is from RNAcentral.